GCCUACGGGGGGCAGCAGUAGGGAAUCUUCCACAAUGGGCGAAAGCCUGAUGGAGCAACGCCGCGUGGGUGAAGAAGGUCUUCGGAUCGUAAAACCCUGUUGUUAGAGAAGAAAGUGCGUGAGAGUAACUGUUCACGUUUCGACGGUAUCUAACCAGAAAGCCACGGCUAACUACGUGCCAGCAGCCGCGGUAAUACGUAGGUGGCAAGCGUUAUCCGGAUUUAUUGGGCGUAAAGCGAACGCAGGCGGUCUUUUAAGUCUGAUGUGAAAUCCUUCGGCUUAACCGGAGAACUGCGUU
This 298-nucleotide ribosomal RNA is filed under the name uncultured bacterium. RNAcentral's name for it is "partial 16S ribosomal RNA". It matches the Rfam family "Bacterial small subunit ribosomal RNA", at positions 337 to 627 of the family's 1533-position model. The record is from RNAcentral.